RNAcentral lists this long non-coding RNA (331 nucleotides) under Brassica napus (rape). Its description in RNAcentral is "long non-coding RNA (BNAP_LNC013571)". Lineage: Eukaryota; Viridiplantae; Streptophyta; Magnoliopsida; Brassicales; Brassicaceae. The record is from RNAcentral.
AACAUUAUUUUCUUAUAUAUAUAUAUAUAUUUGAAACUAUUGUUUUUCAUAUCGUAUUAGUUCUAGUUGUUUUUUCCGAAAUAGGAGGUGCAGUUGGACGAAUUUUCUUUCAAAUGUGUCAACGCUGUGAUUGUUUUUUUUAUUAGGUUAGAAGGUGUCGUUUGUCGAGAAGAGAAUAUAUAUGUUAUGGGAAGUGAGUGUUCUAAAUAAGGCAUAAGUUAGUGUUUGGACAAAACUACAACGCUUCAAUUUCAUGUAAGAACAUGUUUGGUAUUCCACACUCAGCUCAUUCGUCCACCGUUCUCAUUUUGUGAUAUAUGCAGACUCAAAC